Rosa rugosa (rugosa rose) is the source of this 1290-nucleotide long non-coding RNA. RefSeq lists it as uncharacterized. The record is from RefSeq and is a predicted model, not a curated record. NCBI's taxonomy places the organism in Eukaryota, Viridiplantae, Streptophyta, Magnoliopsida, Rosales, Rosaceae. The transcript is spliced from 3 exons.
GUAACGCUGUCGCUUGUAUAAUUAAAAAAAAAAAUGAAACAAAUGGAGGAGAUCAAGCGAUCCUCGGCCGCCAUUGAAGAGAGAGAUUUGGUAACAAGUGGAGGAGAUCAAGCUUCAUUGACGUCGUGGCCGAGGAGGAGGAGGACGACGUUGAAUACGGCCCCUAUCGUGGUGGUGGCGGUGGGAGUCGUAAGCGGAGCAAAAAGAGGCUCUCCAAUGUGGGUUUUCUUGAUCUCGAAGCGGUGGUCGAUUCAGAUAAGGAGGAAGAGGAGGAUGAGUGUUGAAGCUUUUAAUCUUCUCGGCCUCCGUCUACAAAACCCUGGCACCUCCAUCAACCCCAAUUUCUCUUCGGGGAUCUGUAGGAACCCAAAGCAUCAAAUUCGAUUAUGUCCUUCAGUGGCUCAAUCACCGUAAUGCUCCCCAAUGCGAGGAUAAUUAUGAGGGACAUAUGGUUGCUUUUGCUGGGCAUAAAUAUGCUACAAGGUCUACUGCUAAUUUGUUGCCAAUACUACCUACAUUGUCACCAGCUUUACUCUUAAAUAGUAUCCUCAAAAGAUGAAUGCAGAUUUUGGUUCAUUGCCAUCCAAAGACAAGUAUAAGAAUAAGGUGCAUGUUUUUUAUUGCUGUUAUUUCUAUCUUUGCUAUGCUUUUAGUCUCCUUGUAUGAGUAUCUUUUGAUCUUUUGCAUACGUGCAUCCUUCGGUGUUCAUAAAACUGUUGAUUUAUUAGUGUUGUGGUCUAUAUCUUUGAUCAGGCAUAAAUGUUGUUCAAGAAACUUUGCUUUAAGAAUCAUGCUCUUUCUCAUUUCCACUUCACUUUAAAACCUGUAUACUUCUCAAUCAUAAGUUUUAUCUAUGGUUACAAAAGUUAAUUUAUCUCUUUGGUAUUUACUUGCUAUUUGCUAUCUGUGGGAUAUAUUAUUAAGGAUAUGUCUCUAUUUUGCUUGUGGGGCUCUUCAAAAGCACAAGUCAUGGAUCAGUAAAUGAAGAAGAAGCUGAUAGGAUUGUAUUACUUCCUGGGCAACCCAAGGUCUCCUUCCAAUAGUUUUCGGGUUUCGGGUGAAGAAUGUUACAAGCAAGGAGGAUGUUAGUCAUAAAUAUGGUUCAGAAGUUUUGGUCACUAGCUUCGUGUGUAACUCUUAAUUUCAACAAGAAGCUUAGUAGUUUUAGGUAUUUUGAUGCUCGUAAUUUUGCAAAACCUUUGGUUGGUCUUACAAUUGUGAUUGUUGAUUUGUAAUUGAACUGAGUUCAUAUGAUAUUUUAACAUUUUUCAAUUUAUAAUUUUUGCAGUA